CUUUGAUUAUGGCUCAGGAUGAACGCUAGCGACAGGCUUAACACAUGCAAGUCGAGGGGCAGCGGGAGGAAAGCUUGCUUUCCUUGCCGGCGACCGGCGCACGGGUGAGUAACACGUAUGCAACCUGCCCAUGACAGGGGGAUAAGCGGGAGAAAUUCCGCCUAAUACCGCAUAACACCCCCGGGAGACAUCUCUCGGGAGUCAAAGGAGCGAUCCGGUCAUGGAUGGGCAUGCGGCGCAUUAGCUAGUUGGCGGGGCAACGGCCCACCAAGGCGACGAUGCGUAGGGGUUCUGAGAGGAAGGUCCCCCACACUGGUACUGAGACACGGACCAGACUCCUACGGGAGGCAGCAGUGAGGAAUAUUGGUCAAUGGGCGAGAGCCUGAACCAGCCAAGUCGCGUGAGGGAAGACGGUCCUACGGAUUGUAAACCUCUUUUGUCGGGGAGCAAUAAAGCGUACGCGUACGCAGAUGCGAGUACCCGAAGAAAAAGCAUCGGCUAACUCCGUGCCAGCAGCCGCGGUAAUACGGAGGAUGCGAGCGUUAUCCGGAUUUAUUGGGUUUAAAGGGUGCGCAGGCGGAAAGUGCAAGUCAGCGGUCAAACGACGGGGCUCAACCCCGUCUCGCCGUUGAAACAGUCUUUCUAGAGUGAGCGAGAAGUAUGCGGAAUGCGUGGUGUAGCGGUGAAAUGCAUAGAUAUCACGCAGAACUCCGAUUGCGAAGGCAGCAUACCGGCGCUCAACUGACGCUCAUGCACGAAAGCGUGGGUAUCGAACAGGAUUAGAUACCCUGGUAGUCCACGCAGUAAACGAUGAAUACUAAUUGUCCGGGCAGAGAGAUGCCUGGGUGAUACAGCGAAAGCGUUAAGUAUUCCACCUGGGGAGUACGCCGGCAACGGUGCAACUCAAAUGAAUUGACGGA
RNAcentral lists this ribosomal RNA (920 nucleotides) under uncultured Bacteroidota bacterium. RNAcentral describes it as "bacterial SSU rRNA". It matches the Rfam family "Bacterial small subunit ribosomal RNA", at positions 11 to 917 of the family's 1533-position model. The record is from RNAcentral. Lineage: Bacteria; Pseudomonadati; Bacteroidota.